CUCUUCUUAGCUCAGUUGGUUUAGAGCGUCUGACUGUAAUUGUUGAUUGUCAUCAGAAGGUCCUUUGUUCGACUCAGAGAGAGGAGA
RNAcentral lists this transfer RNA (87 nucleotides) under Aureobasidium namibiae CBS 147.97. It matches the Rfam family "tRNA". From Rfam's summary of the family: Transfer RNA (tRNA) molecules are approximately 80 nucleotides in length. Their secondary structure includes four short double-helical elements and three loops (D, anti-codon, and T loops). Lineage: Eukaryota; Fungi; Ascomycota; Dothideomycetes; Dothideales; Saccotheciaceae. The record is from Rfam by way of RNAcentral.